RNAcentral lists this ribosomal RNA (301 nucleotides) under uncultured bacterium. Its description in RNAcentral is "partial 16S ribosomal RNA". It matches the Rfam family "Bacterial small subunit ribosomal RNA", at positions 509 to 807 of the family's 1533-position model. The record is from RNAcentral.
CAGUCGCCGCGGUAAUACGUAGGGUGCAAGCGUUAAUCGGAAUUACUGGGCGUAAAGCGUGCGUAGGCGGUGUUGUAAGACUGAUGUGAAAUCCCCGGGCUCAACCUGGGAACUGCAUUGGUGACUGCAACGCUGGAGUGCGGCAGAGGGGGAUGGAAUUCCGCGUGUAGCAGUGAAAUGCGUAGAGAUCGGGAGGAACAUCAGUGGCGAAGGCGGCCAUCUGGGACAACACUGACGCUGAGGCACGAAAGCGUGGGGAGCAAACAGGAUUAGAUACCCGAGUAGUCCCUGUCUCUUAUAC